Molecule: ribosomal RNA, 252 nt
Filed under: uncultured bacterium
Lineage: Bacteria
Description: partial 16S ribosomal RNA
Rfam family: Bacterial small subunit ribosomal RNA
Source: RNAcentral
UACGUAGGUCCCGAGCGUUGUCCGGAUUUAUUGGGCGUAAAGCGAGCGCAGGUGGUUUAUUAAGUCAGCGGUAAAAUUGCGGGGCUCAACCUCGUCGAGCCGUUGAAACUGGGUGCCUUGAGUGGGCGAGAAGUACGCGGAAUGCGUGGUGUAGCGGUGAAAUGCAUAGAUAUCACGCAGAACUCCGAUUGCGAAGGCAGCGUACCGGCGCCCAACUGACGCUGAAGCACGAAGGCGUGGGUAUCGAACAGG